CAAUUUAAAUGUUCUUUUAAGUCAUACAGCAUUUAGAGCAACUGAAGGUAACAAAGUUAAUUGAUUUUGUUAUAAAAUUAUACUGUGUGGCUCAUAGCACUGAGCCUUUAAAGGAAAUGGCACACUGGUAAAGCCAGAUGUAUCCCUCUCCGCUCAGGGAGAGUGAAAGCAGCAGAGAUACCAGGCUGUGGGUUUGAUCAAUCUGCAUCUUACUUCCCCAUCUUACUUGCUCUUCUUUCAAAAAGAUUUCCAAACAAGCCCUGUGCUCCAGGUCACCAGAUACAGCAGUGGCAGGUUAUGUUGGAGCAUUGAUUAAUGUGCUAUCGGAGGGAAACAAACAUUCCCCGAACUAAAGAUUUACCUGAUUUACCUGAACUUGUCAUCAGUCCAAACACAAGAAAAAAUGUUUCGCCCAUCAGUUUCUAAUGGUAGACAUUUUCUUUUGGGCAGCAGGUCAUGAUUUAUUUUACAAAUUGAAAUGCUAUUUAAACCAUUUUUUGCAGAAAGGACCAAAGUAGGAAACAAUAAUAAAUAAUGGUGCUUGGAAUGCAGCAUUUGCAUUCAUCCAGCUUCAGCUUGUAGAUAAGUAGGGAUUUAAAUGAGGGUUGAAAGCCUUAACAUGUGACUUUGCUUUAACAGCUGGGUUGUGUUUAGGCAUUGCUGCCUCGUCAUGCUUUUGCAGCUCGAUUAUGAUGCGCUUUUAUGCGUUUGUCCUGAAAAAUCCCCCACUGACCGGUUAUUUUCAGAAGCUGUCUCUGGUGGUUGCGCCACAACACUGUUCUCACCACAGUCAUGAUUUAGCAGUAGGAAUAAAUUGAAACCUUGAACGUAGUAAACAUCUCCGGUGUCAAAGAUAGCUUGAUGCCUUUGACCAGUCAGGUUGGCUGAAGCCUGAGUUCUGCAGCUCAUGUUUGGCCAAACCUCAGUCUCAGCCCAGCGUGGCUUGCAGAGCAGCUAAGUGCUGGGUGCAGAGGGGAAGUGGUUGACAUGCAGGUUGAGCUCAUUGUUCUCAGAGCGACAGUUCCCAGAGGCUCCUGGGCACAGCUGACGCCUGCAGUCUGGGCCUGGAAAAUGUAUUAACAGAUGAAGAUUGAAUGUAAGUCAACUUUGUUGAAUCAUUUGCAGAAUCUAUGAAGGUUGUGAAGCUGUGCUAACGUUGGCUUUACACAAAUCAACAUUUGCAUCUACUUGCCUCAAAAAGUACAAGUAGACCCCAAAAUAUUCGUAUUUCAAGCAGAUUUCAAUAAAAAAAAUGACUUAAAUUCAAAUAUCACGUUUGCUGAAUUAUUGUUUUUUGAGGCAUCUGUCAAAAGACAAUAAAAUAAUAUAUUAGCAUUGCCGUCCUUUUGGUUUUCCCACUGGCAUUGUGACCAAUUAGGAUGACCUCAAGCAGUUCGAGGAUGCAGGGUCUCAUUACCAUCACCCUAAUCUGCACAGAUCCACUCACACGUUAUCUCUGCUGAUUACUCUGCCUACGCUGCUUUUUGAAACAGCGAUUAAUAAACAGAACUGAGAAGUAGAAGUAGUUUUAGUGCAACGGACAUUUUACUUCUAAUUGAGUAGUAUUUUGAGGUAACGUUUUUUCUAAAUGAGCUUCUCAGUUCUAGUUACUUCGCUGAAUAAAAAACCGAGUGCGUUUUAAUCAAAAGCGCACAGACAGACACGAAACGUUUCGGGGGACAGCUUCAUCCCAUCUGCUGAGCCGGCCACAUUUGGAGGUCAAACAAAACCUCCAAAAACAAACUUCUUGGCCAAAUAAAGGUCACCGCCUGGAUUUAACCAAUAAAUAGACACAAGCCUUUAAUGAGGAUUACUACUGCAGCAGCAGCAGAUCUUUUAACAUCAGCUGACGCGAUGAGUAGCUUCUCUUCCAGCCAUGUUGAAAGACAUCAGUCUGUUCAUGACAUGUCAGAUCGUUGGCAUUCGUCAAGCAGGAGAUUGCAGAAACCACUAAAAUCGGGUUAAGAAUGGAUCUGUAUUUAAAACCGGGAGGGAAGUGGAGAACCGUCGCAUGUGAGGAAAAAAGGGUUGUCACUAUCCACCAUCAUAGAAAAACAAAUCCUGAUGUGAGAUCACCUAAAGGUUUGGUGAAAUCAAAUCAGGAAAAAACAACAACAAGUAGAAUCCAGGA
This is a long non-coding RNA of Xiphophorus couchianus (Monterrey platyfish), 2131 nucleotides long. RefSeq lists it as uncharacterized. NCBI's taxonomy places the organism in Eukaryota, Metazoa, Chordata, Actinopteri, Cyprinodontiformes, Poeciliidae. The record is from RefSeq and is a predicted model, not a curated record. The transcript is spliced from 2 exons.